AUUGAACGCUGGCGGCAUGCCUUACACAUGCAAGUCGAACGGCAGCGCGGGAGCAAUCCUGGCGGCGAGUGGCGAACGGGUGAGUAAUACAUCGGAACGUGCCCAAUCGUGGGGGAUAACGCAGCGAAAGCUGUGCUAAUACCGCAUACGAUCUACGGAUGAAAGCAGGGGACCGCAAGGCCUUGCGCGAAUGGAGCGGCCGAUGGCAGAUUAGGUAGUUGGUGAGGUAAAGGCUCACCAAGCCUUCGAUCUGUAGCUGGUCUGAGAGGACGACCAGCCACACUGGGACUGAGACACGGCCCAGACUCCUACGGGAGGCAGCAGUGGGGAAUUUUGGACAAUGGGCGCAAGCCUGAUCCAGCCAUGCCGCGUGCAGGAUGAAGGCCUUCGGGUUGUAAACUGCUUUUGUACGGAACGAAACGGCCUUUUCUAAUAAAGAGGGCUAAUGACGGUACCGUAAGAAUAAGCACCGGCUAACUACGUGCCAGCAGCCGCGGUAAUACGUAGGGUGCAAGCGUUAAUCGGAAUUACUGGGCGUAAAGCGUGCGCAGGCGGUGAUGUAAGACAGUUGUGAAAUCCCCGGGCUCAACCUGGGAACUGCAUCUGUGACUGCAUCGCUGGAGUACGGCAGAGGGGGAUGGAAUUCCGCGUGUAGCAGUGAAAUGCGUAGAUAUGCGGAGGAACACCGAUGGCGAAGGCAAUCCCCUGGGCCUGUACUGACGCUCA
Molecule: ribosomal RNA, 726 nt
Filed under: Pseudomonas sp.
Lineage: Bacteria; Pseudomonadati; Pseudomonadota; Gammaproteobacteria; Pseudomonadales; Pseudomonadaceae
Description: bacterial SSU rRNA
Rfam family: Bacterial small subunit ribosomal RNA
Source: RNAcentral